Molecule: transfer RNA, 66 nt
Filed under: Botrylloides violaceus
Lineage: Eukaryota; Metazoa; Chordata; Ascidiacea; Stolidobranchia; Styelidae
Description: transfer RNA-Leu(UUR)
Source: RNAcentral
GUCAAUGUGGCAGAGAGCGUAUGCGAAAGUUCUAAGAUCUUUUUACGGGGGGAGUCCCUGUUGACU